UCCCCGAUUUCCGGGGCAGUCUCCCUAGAGUUCCCGGCAUGACCCGAUGGCAACUAGGGAUAGGGGUUGCGCUCGUUGCGGGACUUAACCCAACAUCUCACGACACGAGCUGACGACGGCCAUGCACCACCUAUCGCAGGCCCUUUCGGACACCACAUCUCUGUGGCUUUUCCUGCGUAGUUCAACCCAGGUAAGGUUCUUCGCGUUGCAUCGAAUUAAGCCACAUGCUCCGCCGCUUGUGCGGUCCCCGUCAAUUCCUUUGAGUUUUAGCCUUGCGGCCGUACUCCCCAGGCGGGGUGCUUAAUGCGUUAGCUGCGGCACGGAUCGCGUCGAUAGCGACCCACACCUAGCACCCGUCGUUUACGGCGUGGACUAC
RNAcentral lists this unclassified non-coding RNA (376 nucleotides) under uncultured Actinomycetes bacterium. Its description in RNAcentral is "uncultured actinobacterium contains 16S-23S intergenic spacer region". The record is from RNAcentral. Lineage: Bacteria; Bacillati; Actinomycetota; Actinomycetes.